Molecule: non-coding RNA, 400 nt
Organism: Paramisgurnus dabryanus
Lineage: Eukaryota; Metazoa; Chordata; Actinopteri; Cypriniformes; Cobitidae
Source: RefSeq, a predicted model, not a curated record
GAUUUUCACAUUUCUUUAUUUAGUUAACUAUUAAAUAAGUAAACAUUACAUUACAUUUAACCCAGCUUCUUUAUGUAACGUUAUGUCUGUGUUGCGUGUGGUAUUUGGAACAUCUUUAUUUUCUGACUAACGUUAGGCAUUUCUCUUAAGCAUUUCAGAAAUCAUUAAAACCUUUCAUUUUUUUUAGCACAGCGACAUAAAUAUGACCAACCAGAUCCCAAGUAGACAGGAACAAAUGAAGAUAUAGCGCAUAGAAAGACUUAUUCUUGGUGAUCAACUGCUAUUGACAUUUUUGAAUCGGGGCAAAUGUGGAGUGAAGAAAAACGUUUGCAACACAUCCAUUCCAGAGUGCUCUGACAGAUAAAACUGACACGCUUGAUGAGGACACAGUCAAGCUUUA